CAUAUCGUCUGAUUUUAUUGAUAGUACGUUUAUCGAUAUCAAGAAUGCCAAUAUCAAUAUAAAUACAUAAACAUUUAUAUAUAUAUACACUUAUGCUGCUAAUGUCUAUUUUGAGCUUGGUCGGCGAUGACGGGUAGAGCUCCGCUUCCGUUCUCAGAAAUCUGCAGACUUUUACCAGCUGUUUAUUGUUUUGAUGAUAUGAUUAUGUUGAUGUCAUAGAUACUAAUCAUAACAAUCGAUAAAUAUUAAAUAGGUACUACAGUAGUAAUGUUUACCAAUUCUUUAUUCUUUGUAACAAUGGUCAUAUCCUAUUGAUCUCAUCAAUAUAUUUUAUUUAUACCCAUUCUUGGGUCAAGCUCUACUAUGUUGUGUUCUAAAGAAAUGCUAACUGGACGUCUUAAGAGAAGACAGGAUAGUAAAGGACUAACAGUGAAAGACUGUGUAAUGUUUGCUAUAAAUGUGUUCAUUGGUAUUGGAUAAAGUAGAGAAAACCGAAUCAGAAGGCGGACACUUCUUGGAUAUUGUUGCCAGGAUUCGCCUUCGACUAAUAUUUUUUAUUAGACACAAUAUCCAAUAAACAACCUGGAAUAGAAAAAUUUCUAAAUAUGCUAAAAAGAAAACUACAGUUUUUAACCAGACUACCAAAAUACAUAUUAAAUAACAUAAAAACUACCAUUACCUAAAAGAUAUUUGUACCUAUUGGUAUUGUAAAACUUAUCUACAUUAUCUAGCAAGGAAGUUUUUAUCCUCGACUAUCAAGCGAUUUCUUAGUCUCCCGAGGUGGAAGUCGUUUGGUUUGCUCAUCCACUAGUCGUUUCGUCAUAAGUUUAUAAGUAUGGUGAACUUCUAUUGAAGACUUGUUUUGCGUAUAAAUGUUAACGCCUACUUCUGAUGUACUACUGACUGACAAUCGCGGUCAGUGGGCCACGGCAAGCGAAGAGUAUUACCGGAACUUAUGUUUAAGUUACCUAAGUUAAAUGGGUUUCGCAUAACAAAGGACACCUCUGGAAUCAUAAAAGGGCCCGAUAAUUGUUAUAUGAACGUGGUGUUUCAAAUACUGAAAUUUCCGUUUCGAAACAAUUACAACAACAGCAUAUUGUCUUUUAGUUUCAAGAUCAAAUCAUAUAAUGAUAUUUAUGAAUGACAAAUAUAAAUAAAUAUAAUACGCGGCA
Galleria mellonella (greater wax moth) is the source of this 1172-nucleotide long non-coding RNA. RefSeq lists it as uncharacterized. The record is from RefSeq and is a predicted model, not a curated record. The transcript has 4 exons. Lineage: Eukaryota; Metazoa; Arthropoda; Insecta; Lepidoptera; Pyralidae.